This is a long non-coding RNA of Aedes aegypti (yellow fever mosquito), 803 nucleotides long. RefSeq lists it as uncharacterized. The transcript is spliced from 2 exons. Lineage: Eukaryota; Metazoa; Arthropoda; Insecta; Diptera; Culicidae. The record is from RefSeq and is a predicted model, not a curated record.
CACCUCGGUAUAUAUUCUCAUUGGUAUUAGCUUCCAGACGGUGGGUCAAUUCAGUUCUGUGUCCGAUUUUUCGGGUUUUCUAGCUGUCGUAGAUUUAGCCAUCAGUUACUCAAUUUUCGUUGUCUCUGUUCCAUACUGUUCUUGAGUUCUUUUUUGUCUCGAUGGAAUCCUAGUGAAAAUUAGCACGAGAAAUUAGGGAUUUUCGUGUACUGUUUGGCACCCGCGAGAUUAGAUAGUGAUCGUAACAAGUGUUUUUCAAGUGGUAGAAAAUGUGAACACAGUGAAUAAUGUUCGAAGGAUAAAUUUGCAGCCUCAAUCUACCAUUCUGCGCCUGCUGUGUUCUUGGAGUAAUCUUCGAUAUACAGAAGGAAGCAGUUUUCAUUUGGCUGCUCUCUGCAUGUGCAUUUCUUCUGGCCCUGACUGAUGGUUCGCAAUAAAUAUUCUGUGAAUAAUGCUGGCAAGUCGCCGAGUAAAAAGUCGCGCAUCAACAUUAAGCAACAUGACGGUGCAAGUGAUCAGGAAGGUGGAGAAGGAAGUUCCAGUGCGACAUUAAUUGAUGGAGAAAGUGCAACAAACGGAGGAGCCCAGCGAUGUGACUCAGUGCAUAAACAAAAUCUUUACAUUAUUUCGUUUCCCGUUAUUUUUGUGUUUAACGUUUUGCGUUCUUUGCUAUACCAGUUAUUCAUUAUUUUUCGGUACAUUUAUAAUUUCACAACAAAAGUGGUUUACAAACCAGUGAGAAAAGAUUGCGGGCUAGAAAUAGUCAUCAACGAUCGGCAACAGUCAAAAGCAGAAAUACUACC